UGGGUGUUUGGGAGUGGAACUUCUGGGCUUUUAAGCCCAGAAGCCCACUUCCUCUCUUUUCUCAGGCGUUUGGCAAAUGAUGGUGAAGGGCUUAAAAAAGGUAAAAGAAGCCGGUAAAAUAAGCUACCAAUCGAGGCUUUUUUUGGACUGAACUUAUAACUUCUUUCACCCGUUCCUUCCUCCUCUUCACUUCCAAUUGUUUUUAUUUAUUUUUUAUUCUUCUGAUUUAUGUUAUCUCGUUCCAAAUAUUGAAUAUAAGAAUUUUUUUUAAUUUAAGUUUUUGUCUUCAAUUUUAUGAAAUAUUUAAAUAUAUUAAUAUUAUAUAUUAAUAUUUAUAUAAAUUUUUAAACACACUUAUAGAUCAUUUAAAUGUGAGACAAAGCAAACCAAAAAACAUUUUUUAUAUAAUAUAAAUAUUACUCUAAUCUAAACUUUUCUCAAUUUAUUUCGUAAAUAUCAAAUAAUUAUAUUACAAAAUUACGAAACUAUGCCAACUUAUAAGUUAAGUUAUCCAAACACUUAAAAACUUAUAAGUUACGGUGUCCAAACACUUGUAAUAACUUAUAAGUCUAAGUCAACUUCUCACUUUUAAUCAACUUCUUUACUUUAAGUAAUAAGUCACUUCUUUU
RNAcentral lists this long non-coding RNA (629 nucleotides) under Daucus carota (carrot). RNAcentral's name for it is "long non-coding RNA (DCAR_LNC003244)". Lineage: Eukaryota; Viridiplantae; Streptophyta; Magnoliopsida; Apiales; Apiaceae. The record is from RNAcentral.